CUUGGCCAAACAGGGUAUUAGAUAUAUAUCUUAGAAUCCACGUUCUCAAUUCAAAACCACAGCAUCAAAAAUUUGAAUCUGCCUUGUGUGUAUGUGAAUUCCACUAUGUAAUCCAAAAUAAACGUUCACACUCUUGACUAGUAAAUUCAUAUUGCUGCAACUAUCAAUACUCCAAUCUAUUAUUUUGACGAUGGAGACCAUUUUAAACCUCAUUUGGAUAAUAUAGAGAGCAGAUCUAAUAAAUGAAUCAAGAAAACUACAUUGGAGAAAGACCAGUACUGACAUUAUUAAAGAUUGCAAUAUUCUUUGAACAACAGACAGAAUGUCCAUGACCUUAGAUUUUUGGGGCUUAUUGUACAUCCAUAUCAUCUUCUAAAGACAUCUUCCACCAUAACCUGCAGUUUUGAACAAGGUUUGCUUUACGUCUUCAGAGCUCCAAAUUGUUCGAUGACCUUGGCUUGUUGGGACUUAUUGUCCAUCCAUAUCAUUUUCUAAAGACAUCUUCCACCAUAACCUGCUGUUUUGAACAAGGUUUGCUUUACGUCUUCAGAGCUCAAAAUUGUUCGAUGCUCCCUUGCCUAACAAAAUCCAGAGAUGAAAAGGAAAACGUUAAUUAACAUGCUCAAACCACACGGCAGGCACAUGAUAAAAAAAAAAUUGUUAGAGUAAAUCUUCAAUCAAUGAUCUCUCAAUUUCAAAUUAGUUGAGAUCAAUUAUAUGAAUCUUCUAUAUCCG
Molecule: long non-coding RNA, 735 nt
Filed under: Nicotiana benthamiana
Lineage: Eukaryota; Viridiplantae; Streptophyta; Magnoliopsida; Solanales; Solanaceae
Description: long non-coding RNA (NBEN_LNC032008)
Source: RNAcentral